This 372-nucleotide ribosomal RNA is filed under the name uncultured soil bacterium. RNAcentral's name for it is "bacterial SSU rRNA". It matches the Rfam family "Bacterial small subunit ribosomal RNA", at positions 26 to 390 of the family's 1533-position model. The record is from RNAcentral.
AGAUUGAACGCUGGCGGCAGGCCUAACACAUGCAAGUCGAGCGGCAGCACGGGUACUUGUACCUGGUGGCGAGCGGCGGACGGGUGAGUAAUGCCUAGGAAUCUGCCUGGUAGUGGGGGAUAACGCUCGGAAACGGACGCUAAUACCGCAUACGUCCUACGGGAGAAAGCAGGGGACCUUCGGGCCUUGCGCUAUCAGAUGAGCCUAGGUCGGAUUAGCUAGUUGGUGAGUAAUGGCUCACCAAGGCGACGGAUCCGUAACUGGUCUGAGAGGAUGAUCAGUCACAUGGAACUGAAGACGACGGUCCAGACUCCGUACGGGAGCAGCAGGUGGGAAUAGUUAGGAACAAGUGGGACGAAACGCCGUAGAUCC